RNAcentral lists this ribosomal RNA (445 nucleotides) under uncultured bacterium. RNAcentral's name for it is "partial 16S ribosomal RNA". It matches the Rfam family "Bacterial small subunit ribosomal RNA", at positions 354 to 796 of the family's 1533-position model. The record is from RNAcentral.
GUAGGGAAUAUUGGACAAUGGAGGCAACUCUGACCCAGCCAUGCCGCGUGCAGGAAGACGGUCCUCUGGAUUGUAAACUGCUUUUGAAUGGGAAGAAACGCACUUUUGCGAAAGUGUUUGACGGUACUAUUAGAAUAAGCACCGGCUAACUCCGUGCCAGCAGCCGCGGUAAUACGGAGGGUGCAAGCGUUAUCCGGAUUUAUUGGGUUUAAAGGGUGCGUAGGCGGCUUGAUAAGUCUGGGGUUAAAGGCGGCAGCUUAACUGUACGCAUGCCCUAGAUACUGUUGAGCUUGAGUGACCUGGAGGUAGCUGGAAUUCCCUGUGUAGCGGUGAAAUGCAUAGAUACGGGGAGGAAUACCGAUUGCGAAGGCAUGUUACUACGGGUAAACUGACGCUGAUGCACGAAAGCGUGGGGAUCAAACAGGAUUAGAAACCCGGGUAGUCC